This 246-nucleotide ribosomal RNA is filed under the name uncultured bacterium. RNAcentral describes it as "partial small subunit ribosomal RNA". It matches the Rfam family "Bacterial small subunit ribosomal RNA", at positions 26 to 285 of the family's 1533-position model. The record is from RNAcentral.
AGAAUCAACGCUGGCGGCGUGCCUAACACAUGCAAGUCGAACGAGAAAGUGGAGCAAUCCAUGAGUAAAGUGGCGCACGGGUGAGUAACACGUGACUAACCUACCCUUGAGUGGGGAAUAAACUUCGGGAAACCGAGGCUAAUACCGCAUAACACCUACGGGUCAAAGGAGCAAUUCGCUUAAGGAGGGGGUCGCGGCAGAUUAGUUAGUUGGCGGGGUAAUGGCCCACCAAGACGGUGAUCUGUA